GGAGAUAUAGCUCAGUGGCAGAGCCUCUGGCUCACAUGCAGAAGGCCCUGGGUUCAUUUCCUGGCAUCUCCU
This is a non-coding RNA of Podarcis lilfordi (Lilford's wall lizard), 72 nucleotides long. The record is from the annotation of a GenBank genome assembly. NCBI's taxonomy places the organism in Eukaryota, Metazoa, Chordata, Lepidosauria, Squamata, Lacertidae.